UGGGGAAUAUUGGGCAAUGGCCGAAAGGCUGACCCAGCGACGCCGCGUGUGGGAGGAAGCCCUUCGGGGUGUAAACCACUGUCAGGAGGGACGAAAGAUUCCAGGGUGAAUAAUCCUGGGAAGUGACGGUACCUUCAAAGGAAGCACCGGCUAACUCUGUGCCAGCAGCCGCGGUAAUACAGAGGGUGCAAGCGUUGUUCGGAAUUACUGGGCGUAAAGCGCGCGCAGGCGGAUCCUGUAAGUCGGAAGUGAAAUUUCACGGCUCAACCGUGAAGCUGCUUCUGAUACUGCGGAUCUGGAGAUCGGUAGAGGUCGGUAGAAUUACAGGUGUAGCGGUGGAAUGCGUAGAUAUCUGUAAGAAUACCCGUGGCGAAGGCGGCCGACUGGGCCGAAUCUGACGCUGAGGCGCGAAAGCGUGGGGAGCAAACAGGAUUAGAUACCCUGGUAGUCCACGCCGUAAACGAUGGGCACUAGGU
RNAcentral lists this ribosomal RNA (476 nucleotides) under uncultured bacterium. RNAcentral's name for it is "bacterial SSU rRNA". It matches the Rfam family "Bacterial small subunit ribosomal RNA", at positions 355 to 821 of the family's 1533-position model. The record is from RNAcentral.